RNAcentral lists this ribosomal RNA (467 nucleotides) under uncultured Ramlibacter sp. RNAcentral's name for it is "bacterial SSU rRNA". It matches the Rfam family "Bacterial small subunit ribosomal RNA", at positions 336 to 795 of the family's 1533-position model. Lineage: Bacteria; Pseudomonadati; Pseudomonadota; Betaproteobacteria; Burkholderiales; Comamonadaceae. The record is from RNAcentral.
UUCCUACGGGCGGCAGCAGUGGGGAAUUUUGGACAAUGGGCGCAAGCCUGAUCCAGCCAUGCCGCGUGCAGGAUGAAGGCCUUCGGGUUGUAAACUGCUUUUGUACGGAACGAAAAGACUCCUUCUAAUAAAGGGGGUUCAUGACGGUACCGUAAGAAUAAGCACCGGCUAACUACGUGCCAGCAGCCGCGGUAAUACGUAGGGUGCGAGCGUUAAUCGGAAUUACUGGGCGUAAAGCGUGCGCAGGCGGUGAUGUAAGACAGAUGUGAAAUCCCCGGGCUCAACCUGGGAACUGCAUUUGUGACUGCAUCGCUGGAGUGCGGCAGAGGGGGAUGGAAUUCCGCGUGUAGCAGUGAAAUGCGUAGAUAUGCGGAGGAACACCGAUGGCGAAGGCAAUCCCCUGGGCCUGCACUGACGCUCAUGCACGAAAGCGUGGGGAGCAAACAGGAUUAGAUACCCCAGUAGUC